RNAcentral lists this ribosomal RNA (450 nucleotides) under uncultured bacterium. RNAcentral's name for it is "partial 16S ribosomal RNA". It matches the Rfam family "Bacterial small subunit ribosomal RNA", at positions 354 to 796 of the family's 1533-position model. The record is from RNAcentral.
GUGGGGAAUUUUGGACAAUGGGCGCAAGCCUGAUCCAGCAAUGCCGCGUGCAGUAAGAAGGCCUUCGGGUUGUAAACUGCUUUUGUACGGAACGAAACGGUCCUGGUUAAUACCUGGGGCUAAUGACGGUACCGUAAGAAUAAGCACCGGCUAACUACGUGCCAGCAGCCGCGGUAAUACGUAGGGUGCAAGCGUUAAUCGGAAUUACUGGGCGUAAAGCGUGCGCAGGCGGUUUUGUAAGACAGGCGUGAAAUCCCCGGGCUCAACCUGGGAAUUGCGCUUGUGACUGCAAGGCUGGAGUGCGGCAGAGGGGGAUGGAAUUCCGCGUGUAGCAGUGAAAUGCGUAGAUAUGCGGAGGAACACCGAUGGCGAAGGCAAUCCCCUGGGCCUGCACUGACGCUCAUGCACGAAAGCGUGGGGAGCAAACAGGAUUAGAAACCCGUGUAGUCC